AACCCUUAUCGUUAGUUGCCAGCGGGUAAAUGCCGGGGAACUCUAGCGAAACUGCCGGUGUAAACCGAGAGGAAGGUGGGGAUGACGUCAAAUCAGCACGGCCCUUAUGUCCAGGGCUACACACGUGUUACAAUGGCCGGUACAGAGGGCAGCUACCUGGAGACAGGAUGCGAAUCUCGAAAGCCGGUCUCAGUUCGGAUCGGAGUCUGCAACUCGACUCCGUGAAGCUGGAUUCGCUAGUAAUCGCGCAUCAGCCAUGGCGCGGUGAAUACGUUCCCGGGCCUU
Molecule: ribosomal RNA, 285 nt
Filed under: uncultured Sphingobacteriales bacterium
Lineage: Bacteria; Pseudomonadati; Bacteroidota; Sphingobacteriia; Sphingobacteriales
Description: partial 16S ribosomal RNA
Rfam family: Bacterial small subunit ribosomal RNA
Source: RNAcentral